RNAcentral lists this transfer RNA (72 nucleotides) under Urocitellus parryii (Arctic ground squirrel). Its description in RNAcentral is "Spermophilus parryii (Arctic ground squirrel) tRNA". It matches the Rfam family "tRNA". From Rfam's summary of the family: Transfer RNA (tRNA) molecules are approximately 80 nucleotides in length. Their secondary structure includes four short double-helical elements and three loops (D, anti-codon, and T loops). Lineage: Eukaryota; Metazoa; Chordata; Mammalia; Rodentia; Sciuridae. RNAcentral also lists the same sequence under 2 other names. The record is from Rfam by way of RNAcentral.
UUAGAGGUAUGCUCAGUAGUAGAGCAUUUGCCUAUUAUGCACAAGAGCUUAGGUUUAAUCCUUACCACAAAA